This 446-nucleotide ribosomal RNA is filed under the name uncultured bacterium. RNAcentral's name for it is "bacterial SSU rRNA". It matches the Rfam family "Bacterial small subunit ribosomal RNA", at positions 217 to 662 of the family's 1533-position model. The record is from RNAcentral.
GGUAUGGGAUGAGCUUGCGUCCGAUUAGCUAGUUGGCGGGGCAACGGCCCACCAAGGCGACGAUCGGUAGCCGGCCUGAGAGGGUGAUCGGCCACAUUGGGACUGAGAUACGGCCCAGACUCCUACGGGAGGCAGCAGUAGGGAAUAUUGCACAAUGGGGGAAACCCUGAUGCAGCAACGCCACGUGUGGGAAGAAGCAUUUCGGUGUGUAAACCACUGUCGUGAGGGAAUAAUACGCGGUUUCGGCCGCGGGGGAAUGUACCUCGAAAGGAAGCACCGGCAAACUUCGUGCCAGCAGCCGCGGUAAUACGAGGGGUGCAAGCGUUGUUCGGAAUCACUGGGCGUAAAGGGAGCGUAGGCGGAUGUUCAAGCGGAUUGUACAAUACUGGGGCCCAACCCCGGACCUGCAGUCCGAACUGGACAUCUUGGAUAGUUCAGGGGCAGGC